RNAcentral lists this ribosomal RNA (331 nucleotides) under uncultured eukaryote. Its description in RNAcentral is "partial 18S ribosomal RNA". It matches the Rfam family "Eukaryotic small subunit ribosomal RNA", at positions 1470 to 1796 of the family's 1831-position model. The record is from RNAcentral.
CCCUUAGAUGUCCUGGGCUGCACGCGCGCUACACUGGAAGUUACGGAUUGAGAUACUACCUUGUCCGAAAUGGUCCGGGUAAUCACCUAAAAGCUUGUCAUAAUUGGAAUGGAUUAUUGUAACUAGUAAUCCUGAACGAGGAAUUCCUAGUAAGUCCCAGUCAACAGCUGGUACUGAUUACGUCCCUGCCCUUUGUACACACCGCCCGUCGCUACUACCGAUUGGGAAAAUUUUAGAGAGUCCUGGACUGAUGAUUGUUCGGCUUCACGGCCUUACUUUCGUCGGGAAAGAAUUCGAUAAUAUUUUUCUAGAGGAAGUAAAAGUCGUAACA